RNAcentral lists this ribosomal RNA (450 nucleotides) under uncultured bacterium. RNAcentral describes it as "partial 16S ribosomal RNA". It matches the Rfam family "Bacterial small subunit ribosomal RNA", at positions 29 to 523 of the family's 1533-position model. The record is from RNAcentral.
AACGAACGCUGGCGGCAGGCUUAACACAUGCAAGUCGAGCGCCCCGCAAGGGGAGCGGCAGACGGGUGAGUAACGCGUGGGAAUCAACCCUGAUCUGCGGAAUAGCUCCGGGAAACUGGAAUUAAUACCGCAUGUGCCCUGAGGGGCAAAGAUUUGUCGGUUCAGGAUGGGGAGCCCGCGUCCGAUUCGCUAGUUGGUGGGGUAAUGGCCUACCAAGGCGAUGAUCGGUAGCUGGUCUAAGAGGAUGAUCAGACCCAUGGGGACUGGGACUCGGCCCAAGUUCCGGCGGGAGGCGGCAGUGUGGAAGAUUGGACAUGGGGCGCAAGCAUGCUCCAGCCAUGCCUCGUGAGUAAUGAAGGCCCUAGGGUUGUAAAGCUCUUUCAGUGGGGACGAUAAUGACGGUACCCACAGAGGAAGCCCCGGCUAACUUCGUUGCAGCCGCCGCAGUAA